This 303-nucleotide ribosomal RNA is filed under the name Pseudomonas aeruginosa. RNAcentral's name for it is "bacterial SSU rRNA". It matches the Rfam family "Bacterial small subunit ribosomal RNA", at positions 947 to 1250 of the family's 1533-position model. The record is from RNAcentral. Lineage: Bacteria; Pseudomonadati; Pseudomonadota; Gammaproteobacteria; Pseudomonadales; Pseudomonadaceae.
UAAUUCGAUGCAACGCGAAGAACCUUACCUGGUCUUGACAUCCACAGAACUUUCAAGAGAUGGAUUGGUGCCUUCGGGAACUGUGAGACAGGUGCUGCAUGGCUGUCGUCAGCUCGUGUUGUGAAAUGUUGGGUUAAGUCCCGCAACGAGCGCAACCCUUAUCCUUUGUUGCCAGCGGUCCGGCCGGGAACUCAAAGGAGACUGCCAGUGAUAAACUGGAGGAAGGUGGGGAUGACGUCAAGUCAUCAUGGCCCUUACGACCAGGGCUACACACGUGCUACAAUGGCAUAUACAAAGAGAAGC